GGGACACGUGGUAUCCUGUCUGAAUAUGGGGGGACCAUCCUCCAAGGCUAAAUACUCCUGACUGACCGAUAGUGAACCAGUACCGUGAGGGAAAGGCGAAAAGAACCCCGGCGAGGGGAGUGAAAAAGAACCUGAAACCGUGUACGUACAAGCAGUGGGAGCACAGAGCAAUCUGUGUGACUGCGUACCUUUUGUAUAAUGGGUCAGCGACUUAUAUUCUGUAGCAAGGUUAACCGAAUAGGGGAGCCGAAGGGAAACCGAGUCUUAACUGGGCGUUAAGUUGCAGGGUAUAGACCCGAAACCCGGUGAUCUAGCCAUGGGCAGGUUGAAGGUUGGGUAACACUAACUGGAGGACCGAACCGACUAAUGUUGAAAAAUUAGCGGAUGACUUGUGGCUGGGGGUGAAAGGCCAAUCAAACCGGGAGAUAGCUGGUUCUCCCCGAAAGCUAUUUAGGUAGCGCCUCGUGAAUUCAUCUCCGGGGGUAGAGCACUGUUUCGGCAAGGGGGUCAUCCCGACUUACCAACCCGAUGCAAACUGCGAAUACCGGAGAAUGUUAUCACGGGAGACACACGGCGGGUGCUAACGUCCGUCGUGAAGAGGGAAACAACCCAGACCGCCAGCUAAGGUCCCAAAGUCAUGGUUAAGUGGGAAACGAUGUGGGAAGGCCCAGACAGCCAGGAUGUUGGCUUAGAAGCAGCCAUCAUUUAAAGAAAGCGUAAUAGCUCACUGGUCGAGUCGGCCUGCGCGGAAGAUGUAACGGGGCUAAACCAUGCACCGAAGCUGCGGCAGCGACGCUGAUGCGUUGUUGGGUAGGGGAGCGUUCUGUAAGCCUGUGAAGGUGUGCUGUGAGGGAUGCUGGAGGUAUCAGAAGUGCGAAUGCUGACAUAAGUAACGAUAAAGCGGGUGAAAAGCCCGCUCGCCGGAAGACCAAGGGUUCCUGUCCAACGUUAAUCGGGGCAGGGUGAGUCGACCCCUAAGGCGAGGCCGAAAGGCGUAGUCGAUGGGAAACAGGUUAAUAUUCCUGUACUUGGUGUUACUGCGAAGGGGGGACGGAGAAGGCUAUGUUGGCCGGGCGACGGUUGUCCCGGUUUAAGCGUGUAGGCUGGUUUUCCAGGCAAAUCCGGAAAAUCAAGGCUGAGGCGUGAUGACGAGGCACUACGGUGCUGAAGCAACAAAUGCCCUGCUUCCAGGAAAAGCCUCUAAGCAUCAGGUAACAUCAAAUCGUACCCCAAACCGACACAGGUGGUCAGGUAGAGAAUACCAAGGCGCUUGAGAGAACUCGGGUGAAGGAACUAGGCAAAAUGGUGCCGUAACUUCGGGAGAAGGCACGCUGAUAUGUAGGUGAAGUCCCUCGCGGAUGGAGCUGAAAUCAGUCGAAGAUACCAGCUGGCUGCAACUGUUUAUUAAAAACACAGCACUGUGCAAACACGAAAGUGGACGUAUACGGUGUGACGCCUGCCCGGUGCCGGAAGGUUAAUUGAUGGGGUCAGCGCAAGCGAAGCUCUUGAUCGAAGCCCCGGUAAACGGCGGCCGUAACUAUAACGGUCCUAAGGUAGCGAAAUUCCUUGUCGGGUAAGUUCCGACCUGCACGAAUGGCGUAAUGAUGGCCAGGCUGUCUCCACCCGAGACUCAGUGAAAUUGAACUCGCUGUGAAGAUGCAGUGUACCCGCGGCAAGACGGAAAGACCCCGUGAACCUUUACUAUAGCUUGACACUGAACAUUGAGCCUUGAUGUGUAGGAUAGGUGGGAGGCUUUGAAGUGUGGACGCCAGUCUGCAUGGAGCCGACCUUGAAAUACCACCCUUUAAUGUUUGAUGUUCUAACGUUGACCCGUGAUCCGGGUUGCGGACAGUGUCUGGUGGGUAGUUUGACUGGGGCGGUCUCCUCCUAAAGAGUAACGGAGGAGCACGAAGGUUGGCUAAUCCUGGUCGGACAUCAGGAGGUUAGUGCAAUGGCAUAAGCCAGCUUGACUGCGAGCGUGACGGCGCGAGCAGGUGCGAAAGCAGGUCAUAGUGAUCCGGUGGUUCUGAAUGGAAGGGCCAUCGCUCAACGGAUAAAAGGUACUCCGGGGAUAACAGGCUGAUACCGCCCAAGAGUUCAUAUCGACGGCGGUGUUUGGCACCUCGAUGUCGGCUCAUCACAUCCUGGGGCUGAAGUAGGUCCCAAGGGUAUGGCUGUUCGCCAUUUAAAGUGGUACGCGAGCUGGGUUUAGAACGUCGUGAGACAGUUCGGUCCCUAUCUGCCGUGGGCGCUGGAGAACUGAGGGGGGCUGCUCCUAGUACGAGAGGACCGGAGUGGACGCAUCACUGGUGUUCGGGUUGUCAUGCCAAUGGCACUGCCCGGUAGCUAAAUGCGGAAGAGAUAAGUGCUGAAAGCAUCUAAGCACGAAACUUGCC
Molecule: ribosomal RNA, 2396 nt
Filed under: Escherichia coli
Lineage: Bacteria; Pseudomonadati; Pseudomonadota; Gammaproteobacteria; Enterobacterales; Enterobacteriaceae
Description: partial 23S ribosomal RNA
Rfam family: Bacterial large subunit ribosomal RNA
Source: RNAcentral